This 292-nucleotide ribosomal RNA is filed under the name uncultured bacterium. RNAcentral describes it as "partial 16S ribosomal RNA". It matches the Rfam family "Bacterial small subunit ribosomal RNA", at positions 505 to 796 of the family's 1533-position model. The record is from RNAcentral.
GUGUCAGCAGCCGCGGUAAUACGGAGGGUGCAAGCGUUGUUCGGAAUCAUUGGGCGUAAAGAGCGUGUAGGCGGUCGGGUAAGUCAGAUGUGAAAUCCCUUGGCUUAACCAAGGAAGUGCAUUUGAAACUGCCCGGCUUGAGUACGGGAGGGGGAAGUGGAAUUCCCGGUGUAGAGGUGAAAUUCGUAGAUAUCGGGAGGAACACCGGUGGCGAAGGCGGCUUCCUGGACCGAUACUGACGCUGAGACGCGAAAGCGUGGGGAGCAAACAGGAUUAGAUACCCUCGUAGUCC